RNAcentral lists this ribosomal RNA (448 nucleotides) under uncultured bacterium. RNAcentral describes it as "partial 16S ribosomal RNA". It matches the Rfam family "Bacterial small subunit ribosomal RNA", at positions 29 to 523 of the family's 1533-position model. The record is from RNAcentral.
AACGAACGCUGGCGGCAUGCCUAACACAUGCAAGUCGAACGAGACCUUCGGGUCUAGUGGCGCACGGGUGCGUAACGCGUGGGAAUCUACCCUUGGGUUCGGAAUAACAGUUAGAAAUGACUGCUAAUACCGGAUGAUGACGUAAGUCCAAAGAUUUAUCGCCCAAGGAUGAGCCCGCGUAAGAUUAGCUUGUUGGUGGGGUAAUGGCCUACCAAGGCGACGAUCUUAGCUGGUCUGAGAGGAUGAUCAGCCACACUGGGACUGAGACACGGCCCAGACUCCUACGGGAGGCAGCAGUGGGGAAUAUUGGACAAUGGGCGAAAGCCUGAUCCAGCAAUGCCGCGUGAGUGAUGAAGGCCUUAGGGUUGUAAAGCUCAUUUACCAGGGAUGAUAAUGACAGUACCUGGAGAAUAAGCUCCGGCUAACUCCGUGCCAGCCGCCGCUGUAA